RNAcentral lists this transfer RNA (72 nucleotides) under Pangasianodon gigas (Mekong giant catfish). RNAcentral's name for it is "tRNA-Glu". It matches the Rfam family "tRNA". Rfam says of the family: Transfer RNA (tRNA) molecules are approximately 80 nucleotides in length. Their secondary structure includes four short double-helical elements and three loops (D, anti-codon, and T loops). The record is from RNAcentral. Lineage: Eukaryota; Metazoa; Chordata; Actinopteri; Siluriformes; Pangasiidae.
UCCCUGGAGGACUAGUGGUAAGGCCACAGCACUCUCACCACUGUGGCCUGGGUUUGAUUCCCAGCCAGGGAA